This is a long non-coding RNA of Bombina bombina (fire-bellied toad), 207 nucleotides long. RefSeq lists it as uncharacterized. The transcript has 3 exons. NCBI's taxonomy places the organism in Eukaryota, Metazoa, Chordata, Amphibia, Anura, Bombinatoridae. The record is from RefSeq and is a predicted model, not a curated record.
GAUUCCGCAAAUAUCCUAUGCUUUGCUCCUGAGGGUCGGCCACAUCUCUCAAGGCACAGAUGUUCACUUUCCUGAAUGCCCGCAGGUUGAAUUUUCCAUAUCCAAGCAUCAAUACUGCGAAUGAAGCAUCGCCUCUUCAAAAUCCGGUGUCUCUGGAGUGCUUGAAGUUUCGCCCCCCGCAGGCCAUACAUAUCAAGGAUACAUUCC